GAGUUUGAUCCUGGCUCAGGAUGAACGCUGGCGGUAUGCUUAAUACAUGCAAGUCGUACGAGAGUUUUUAACUCUAGUGGCGGACGGGUGAGUAACACGUGAGAAUCUGCCCUUAGGAGGAGGAUAACAGCUGGAAACGGUUGCUAAUACUCCAUAUGCCGAGAGGUGAAAGGAUGUAUCUGCCUAAGGAGGAGCUCGCGUCUGAUUAGCUAGUUGGUAGGGUAAAGGCCUACCAAGGCGACGAUCAGUAGCUGGUUUGAGAGGAUGAUCAGCCACACUGGGACUGAGACACGGCCCAGACUCCUACGGGAGGCAGCAGUAGGGAAUUUUCCGCAAUGGGCGAAAGCCUGACGGAGCAAUACCGCGUGAGGGAUGACGGCCUGUGGGUUGUAAACCUCUUUUCUCAAGGAAGAAGUUCUGACGGUACUUGAGGAAUAAGCAUCGGCUAACUCUGUGCCAGCAGCCGCGGUAAUACAGAGGAUGCAAGCGUUAUCCGGAAUCACUGGGCAUAAAGCGUCUGUAGGUGG
RNAcentral lists this ribosomal RNA (527 nucleotides) under uncultured bacterium. Its description in RNAcentral is "bacterial SSU rRNA". It matches the Rfam family "Bacterial small subunit ribosomal RNA", at positions 9 to 578 of the family's 1533-position model. The record is from RNAcentral.